RNAcentral lists this ribosomal RNA (438 nucleotides) under uncultured bacterium. Its description in RNAcentral is "bacterial SSU rRNA". It matches the Rfam family "Bacterial small subunit ribosomal RNA", at positions 97 to 510 of the family's 1533-position model. The record is from RNAcentral.
GGCGGACGGGUGCGUAACACGUGGGUAAUCUACCUUCCGGCGGGGGACAACAGUCCGAAAGGAUUGCUAAUACCGCAUACGUCAGCGAGGUCCACGGACCUUGUUGGGAAAGAUGGCCUCUCCUUGGAAGCUGUCACCGGAAGAUGAGCCCGCGGGCCAUCAGCUAGUUGGUGAGGUAAUGGCUCACCAAGGCUUAGACGGGUAGCUGGUCUGAGAGGAUGAUCAGCCACACUGGGACUGCGACACGGCCAGACUCCUACGGGAGGCAGCAGUGGGGAAUAUUGGGCAAUGGGCGCAAGCCUGACCCAAGCCACGCCGCGUGAGUGAUGACGGCCUUCGGGUCGUAAAGCUCUGUGGGGCAGGGACGAACAAGCUCGGCAUUAAACACCGCCGGGCCCUGACGGUACCUCCUUAGCAAGCACGGCUAACCCUGUGCCA